CACGUAGGCACCAAGCGUUGUCCGGAUUUAUUGGGCGUAAAGAGCUCGUAGGCGGUUCAGUAAGUCGGGUGUGAAAACUCUGGGCUCAACCCAGAGACGCCACCCGAUACUGCUGUGACUUGAGUACGGUAGGGGAGACUGGAAUUCCUGGUGUAGCGGUGAAAUGCGCAGAUAUCAGGAGGAACACCGGUGGCGAAGGCGGGUCUCUGGGCCGUAACUGACGCUGAGGAGCGAAAGCAUGGGGAGCGAACAGA
RNAcentral lists this ribosomal RNA (254 nucleotides) under uncultured bacterium. RNAcentral describes it as "partial 16S ribosomal RNA". It matches the Rfam family "Bacterial small subunit ribosomal RNA", at positions 524 to 776 of the family's 1533-position model. The record is from RNAcentral.